AACCUGGUUGAUCCUGCCAGUAGUCAUAUGCUUGUCUUAAAGAUUAAGCCAUGCAUGUCUAAGUAUAAGCAUUUAUACCGCGAGACUGCGAACGGCUCAUUAAAACAGUUAUGGUUUAUUUGAUGGUUCCUUUGCUACUUGGAUAACCGUAGUAAUUCUAGAGCUAAUACAUGCACGAAGGGGCGACUUACGAAGCCCUGUAUUUAUUAGAUUAAAGCCAACCACCUCCGGGUGUUCGUGGUGAAUCAUAGUAACUCCUCGGAUCGCCGGCCCUGCGCCAGCGACGUGUCAUUCAAAUUUCUGCCCUAUCAGCUUUAGAUGGUAGGAUAUGGGCCUACCAUGGCGGUGACGGGUAACGGAGAAUUAGGGUUCGAUUCCGGAGAGGGAGCCUGAGAAACGGCUACCACUUCUAAGGAAGGCAGCAGGCGCGCAAAUUACCCAAUCCUGACUCAGGGAGGUAGUGACAAGAAAUAACAAUAAACCGGCUUAUGCCGGUUUAAUUGGAAUGAGUACAAUUUAAACAUCUUAACGAGGAACAAUUGGAGGGCAAGUCUGGUGCCAGCAGCCGCGGUAAUUCCAGCUCCAAUAGC
Molecule: ribosomal RNA, 590 nt
Filed under: uncultured marine eukaryote
Lineage: Eukaryota
Description: SSU rRNA
Rfam family: Eukaryotic small subunit ribosomal RNA
Source: RNAcentral